AUAAUCUUUACUCUACCACAUGCAGCUAAUUUAACACAACUCAUACAAGCUAACUCCAUGAACACAACCACCAGCACUCCUACCCCAACCAGUGCUACAACACAGCCUCCAAGGUACCCUAUAGUCAUUGGGCUGAGAGCUAGGAUCACAACCACAGUGGCGCUGGAUACAAAUCUAACGAACAAAAUUUUGCAGCAGUAUAUAUCAUACCUCCAGCAAUACAAUGUAACUGCGAGAGUGACGAGCAUUAAGAAGUUAUGAAGGGCUGUGUCAGGAGGACCUUCAAGAUUGUUGUUGGGUUGUUGGGUUGUUAUAAUCUAUUCUACCUUUUUUCAAAUCCUUGUUAAAGAUUAGCAUUUAAAGCCAUCAUGAUGAUUUGUGGGAGGAAAUUAAAAGUAACUGUUACUGAUAAUAAAUGCUUUUUCUAUGAUUUGUCAACAAUGGAUGAAUUACUGAAUAAAUCCUGCAUGAGAAGAAAACUCCCUUAUGUUUAUUGUCUCACUAAUUUCCCAAUUUAUCUCUAUAUUUUAAGUCCUGAAAGAGUAUUUGAAUGAUGUGAUAAAUAGUGAUUAUGUACAGUACCAUUAAACUACUAGAAUAAACACUGCACUGUAUAAAGUAUACAAGCCUGAAUUGUGUUAUAUGUUGAUUCUUUCUAUGAUUGGAGUUAAAGAUGUGGUGAAUCAGGUAUAUCUGACUUUGUACAUACUGGAAAAGAAAAAAAAAAACGAGAUGGCAUGAGGAAGAGACUUUGUAGGGAACCACAUUUAAACUGGUAAACCCUCUACUACCCUCUACUGGGUGGCAAUAGGAUUGAUUAUGCAAUGAAAAACAAGUGUCUAAAGGAAGCCAUCCAUCA
Long non-coding RNA from Clarias gariepinus (North African catfish), 859 nucleotides. RefSeq lists it as uncharacterized. The record is from RefSeq and is a predicted model, not a curated record. NCBI's taxonomy places the organism in Eukaryota, Metazoa, Chordata, Actinopteri, Siluriformes, Clariidae. The transcript has 3 exons.